This 1410-nucleotide ribosomal RNA is filed under the name Salmonella enterica. RNAcentral's name for it is "partial 23S ribosomal RNA". It matches the Rfam family "Bacterial large subunit ribosomal RNA", at positions 1551 to 2925 of the family's 2925-position model. Lineage: Bacteria; Pseudomonadati; Pseudomonadota; Gammaproteobacteria; Enterobacterales; Enterobacteriaceae. The record is from RNAcentral.
UAACACUGAGGCGUGACGACGAGGCACUACGGUGCUGAAGCAACAAAUGCCCUGCUUCCAGGAAAAGCCUCUAAGCAUCAGGUAACAUCAAAUCGUACCCCAAACCGACACAGGUGGUCAGGUAGAGAAUACCAAGGCGCUUGAGAGAACUCGGGUGAAGGAACUAGGCAAAAUGGUGCCGUAACUUCGGGAGAAGGCACGCUGACACGUAGGUGAAGUGAUUUACUCAUGGAGCUGAAGUCAGUCGAAGAUACCAGCUGGCUGCAACUGUUUAUUAAAAACACAGCACUGUGCAAACACGAAAGUGGACGUAUACGGUGUGACGCCUGCCCGGUGCCGGAAGGUUAAUUGAUGGGGUCAGCGCAAGCGAAGCUCCUGAUCGAAGCCCCGGUAAACGGCGGCCGUAACUAUAACGGUCCUAAGGUAGCGAAAUUCCUUGUCGGGUAAGUUCCGACCUGCACGAAUGGCGUAAUGAUGGCCAGGCUGUCUCCACCCGAGACUCAGUGAAAUUGAACUCGCUGUGAAGAUGCAGUGUACCCGCGGCAAGACGGAAAGACCCCGUGAACCUUUACUAUAGCUUGACACUGAACAUUGAGCCUUGAUGUGUAGGAUAGGUGGGAGGCUUUGAAGUGUGGACGCCAGUCUGCAUGGAGCCGACCUUGAAAUACCACCCUUUAAUGUUUGAUGUUCUAACGUGGACCCGUGAUCCGGGUUGCGGACAGUGUCUGGUGGGUAGUUUGACUGGGGCGGUCUCCUCCUAAAGAGUAACGGAGGAGCACGAAGGUUGGCUAAUCCUGGUCGGACAUCAGGAGGUUAGUGCAAUGGCAUAAGCCAGCUUGACUGCGAGCGUGACGGCGCGAGCAGGUGCGAAAGCAGGUCAUAGUGAUCCGGUGGUUCUGAAUGGAAGGGCCAUCGCUCAACGGAUAAAAGGUACUCCGGGGAUAACAGGCUGAUACCGCCCAAGAGUUCAUAUCGACGGCGGUGUUUGGCACCUCGAUGUCGGCUCAUCACAUCCUGGGGCUGAAGUAGGUCCCAAGGGUAUGGCUGUUCGCCAUUUAAAGUGGUACGCGAGCUGGGUUUAGAACGUCGUGAGACAGUUCGGUCCCUAUCUGCCGUGGGCGCUGGAGAACUGAGGGGGGCUGCUCCUAGUACGAGAGGACCGGAGUGGACGCAUCACUGGUGUUCGGGUUGUCAUGCCAAUGGCACUGCCCGGUAGCUAAAUGCGGAAGAGAUAAGUGCUGAAAGCAUCUAAGCACGAAACUUGCCCCGAGAUGAGUUCUCCCUGAGACUUAAAGUCUCCUGAAGGAACGUUGAAGACGACGACGUUGAUAGGCCGGGUGUGUAAGCGCAGCGAUGCGUUGAGCUAACCGGUACUAAUGAACCGUGAGGCUUAACCUUACAACGCCGAAG